UGGGGAAUUUUGCGCAAUGGACGAAAGUCUGACGCAGCAACGCCGCGUGAGUGAAGAAGGCCUUCGGGUUGUAAAGCUCUGUCGGAUGGGAAGAAAAUGGCGUGGGUUAAUAGCCCAAGCAACUGACGGUACCAUCAAAGGAAGCACCGGCUAACUUCGUGCCAGCAGCCGCGGUAAUACGAGGGGUGCAAGCGUUGCUCGGAAUCAUUGGGCGUAAAGGGUAGGUAGGUGGUCUCAUUUGUCUGAGGUG
This 250-nucleotide ribosomal RNA is filed under the name uncultured bacterium. Its description in RNAcentral is "partial 16S ribosomal RNA". It matches the Rfam family "Bacterial small subunit ribosomal RNA", at positions 355 to 596 of the family's 1533-position model. The record is from RNAcentral.